AAGAAGCAUUAUCUUAAUUUACCCUUCAGUCUUUUUUUCACCCUUAAUCUUGAAGCAAAUAAAUGCCCUUUGCUGAUGUUUUCCAUUUUCCUGAAACUCAGUUUUGCUCUUCUUGCAUUUAAAACCAAGAACAACAACAACAAAUACUAAACAGACUUCUCCAAAAAGUCUAGCCCACCACAGUUGCUAACAAUAGUAUUGAUAGAUACCCGGUAGCAGUUUUGGCUAAAACAAGCCUGUAAACCAUAUAAUCAGUGUGUUUUAUGGAUUGCAUUUAUCACUGACAUUUUCCCCUUCCUUCAGUUGCAGGGUCCUGUCCCCUUCAGCUGCCUUCUGGACAUCGCUGCCUCUCUGGUAGAACAGCAGAACAGAUGUUAACUACUGCUGCUGCUCUCUGUAAAUAGCUCACUUUCUGUAGUGGCUCAUCCACCUUCUGGCUGACCAGAAAAGCAAUCUGAUAACGGUUAUAAUGCCAUCCUCAAAGCCAUCCUUCAAAUGUGUGGAGUGGGAGAAGUGAAGGGUAUGCAACAGACAGGUGGUGUGGAGACCCUGGAUGCAGCUGCUGCAGCAAGUAUCCCACAGGCAAGGACCAGAGGUUGCCUGUCAUUGGGAUGUGGGGGUCUUCCUCCAUCCCAAGCAUAUAGAAUUACAUGUCACAGGACUUGCACUGUGAUUGCUUGGUAACAGUAGAUCAGAAAAUAUUGUGUGUCUUUCACAUUGAAGUGAAAACAUGUGAGUCCUGUCACAAAGCAUUCUGACCACAUGCCAGCAUCAUAGAAGCCUCAUUCUGGUGCCUGUCAUUGCUGCAUCAUCUGGGCAUUUUCAUUCAUUCUAAGCAUUUGUUAUUUUAAUCUUAAAAUGCCCCUCUGCAAUUCAGUUGAGAUAUUUCUGUUUUCAAUAAUACGUUUUCCAUAAUGCUUUCCUUCCUCCUUCAGACCUCUCUGAAAUCAAGCACUGCAGUCCACUGACAUGUUGACAGUUUUACGUGAAUUAAUGAAAAAGGAGUUGGAAGUGACUGACAAAGAUUUGUUUAUUAUUAUUAAACUGACUGUGAAUCUCAGUUGCUCUACUGAAAAGAAAAUUAAGAAAAGGAGGAAUUGAAAAAAAGUAUCAAUCCACAAUGUAUGAUUAAGAAUAUAUUCUAUUCUUCAAUUUAUAAUGAAUAAUUUUAAGAAUUAAGGCUGCUGCCUGGAGGCAGAAAUCCUUGUUCUGAAUUGUACUCAUAACUGCUUAAUGGUAUGGCUAAUAUGCUGAGAGGAAGUGAAAAUGGAUAUUUCAACACUGAGAAAAAUACUAGCUCAAAGUUGGGCCUUUAAUGGAAAAAGGAAAAUAUGAAUCAUCUUGGUAACAAACAAGAAGAUACAAGAUGAAAAGGUACUUGCUGGAUAAUUUCUUAUCUACUUUUAUUCAGGUAAAAAGCUGAAAUACAGAAGUCUAAGAAUCACAUUAGUGACACCUCAUCUUUUUGGAGCAACGCUCUGUGGAAUGUGUUAGCUUCUUACCGUAUUCCAUCAGGCUUAUGCUCUCAUCAUCUGCACACACUCCUGUUUCACACCCAUGUUUCCUUUAACACUUCAGCCUUCCCCAUCCCCUCAGUGUUUGGCUUUGCCUGAUCUGUAGUAACAGCGAAGCCUGGUACUCACCAGGACUGGACUCAUGGUGCAGGCCAGCUCAAACAAGGCUGCUUCCUCUUUCUGUUUUCCUGCCCAGAGAGGCCAGCCAACCAAAGAUGAAAUUCCUCCAUUCCUGGAACAUCUGGCUGAGCCUCUCAAUGCUCAUAAUUAUCCUCCCACUCCCAGCUCUCUGCAGGUGCAGGGAAGUGUAGUGAAGGUUCUGUGGGAGCACAGCUUUACAGUGGGUAAGUUCACCUAUAAAUCUCAAGUAAAUGCAUGCCAUCUGAUUUAAUAUACAUUUUUGGUUUUAUAAUUUUUGCUGACAGAGGAUCUCACUGAUAAAAUGCCAGGUGGAAUAAUAUCAGUUAAGAAACUUACGGCAAAACUUCCAAACUUUCAGUGAGUGCAGAACUGUGUAUUGCCAUCAAAAUCUACAUCUCAACAUCAUAUGCUGCCUUAUCACUAAUGCCUUUACCAUCUGCCUACCCUCAUUCACUUCUUAUCCCUUCUCUCAACACAGGCUCUCAUUUCUCAGCUGCUUUUUAGUCUUCACUCACUGCUCCUCCAUCAGUCAGCCACUUGCUGCACUCAUCUCACACAGAAACCCCAGGAAAACCUUCCCGUGCAUUCCCUAGCAGGGGAUGCUCUUGUAGUCCAAAUGUGAAUGUUGCCAGAGCCACAAUCUGUUCCUUGUUUAGCUCAGCACAGUGCACCUAAACAGAUGGUGAGUAAUGGCAUGCAAUGCCUACUUAUCUUUUGUGCUUUCCUCCAUAUGGUUCCUGUAUUAGGGCUGGAAACAAACUGAAGGAGGUAGUAUGAAUAGGAAAUGAAUUCCAUUAAGCUCCACAAAGUUGCUGUUAAAAAUUGCUGUGUUUUUUGUACUGAUACAAGAGUGGCUGAGUCAUUUCAGACCUGAGAUGUGAAUAUGCAGCUCCCCUGAUGUUCAUAGGUUUGCAACUACCUGUAUCACAUAAAAAUGUUAUGGUAUGGUGCAUCAGCUUGCAAGCCACUUGAGCACACUCUUCAGUUUCUCAUUUUCUCAUUAAAAUAAUCUCAAAGUAAGCAUAAGAUCUUGCUGCAUUAAUAUAUAUUUAAAUGUUCUGACAUGAUGCAGGACUACACAGUCCUAGAAAUGAAUAAUGUUGCUUGCUCCUUUUGGUGGUGGUGGUAGAUAAUAUUUAAAGACAUGAAACAACCUGAUAUUAAAAAGGAAUGUGUUUAGAUCAUCUUAGAUUUAGCUAUAUAUUAGGGGGCUGCUUAAAAAUGUCAAAAUUUUAGGAUUUAGAAUAGCAUUCUCAAAAGAAGCCUAUAAAGGUUUAUGAGUAUAGCUGUCACUACAAGCUGUAGCAUUCAGUGAAACAACUUCCUAAAUACCUAAAGGCCAGAAUUACUUUACAGCUAUUCUUGGUGUAUUAAUUUCUCAGUCACUUGGUGCCAAAUCCCCAAGAGAGAGCUACAACACGAGAGAUGCACAACAUACAGCAAGAACGUACCAUCCAGCAGCAGCCCUGCAAAUAGGGACAAGGGAGAAGCUCAUCCACACGGGAAUCAGCUAACCGUGGGGACAGGGACAGCACUCCAGCCCCUUCACACUGAGGCAGAGCUUUUCUGAUGGACUCGAGUCUGCAUUUGCAUGCCUCACUUUCUCAUAGUUCAGCUUUGUUUCAUGACUUGUUUGUACAACAAAGACCUUCCAGUGAUAGUAACCACGAAGCUUCACGGUUUCAUCUUGUUUAAAGUCUAAGGGAAACCUCUACCAUUAUUAAGAGAGAUGGUUCUUCGGGUAGAAAAUGGAAAUGUUUUGCCAGAAUAGACACUUCCAAGAAAACCUUCCUGAAUGUACUUUAUUUAUGGCAGUAAAUUCUAUCAGUGGUAGCUCUUCACUAUCUGGGAAAUACUUGCACAAAGCUGAGGAGUGUGAGACAUGGAUCAUUGCAUCUUCUGAACAGAAUCAUAACCAAGGGACAUAAUAUUUAUUUCUAUUUACUUUUUAAUAUACCAGAGCUUCACCUCUGGACUCUCAUUCUUUUUAAUACAACAGGAAAAUGACAUCUAAAUACAUUGCUCUGAUAACCUAAUGAUGUGAAAACAUUUCUGUUUUCUUUGGGUUAUUGUAAGAUUUCUUUUCAUUAUAAGGAGCCUGACUUCACAAGUGCUGAAAAGCCCACAACCCCAGGACUUCAGUGAAGUCUUGAGCUGUUCACUUUCUUCAGGGGCACAGACAGCCUUCCCAGAAGGUCUCUUCACCAGAAAAGCAAGAUAGGAUUUUCUGUUGCCUGUAACUAUUUGUUCAAGACAUUGCUUGAGAUGUUCUUACCUGUCAAUAGCCACCUGGUAGAAUAAUAUCACGAAUAAUGAACUACAACCAACAACUUUUGCGUUUUUUGGUCAGUACAUGAGAAGUCUCCAAAACAGGAAGUGUUACUUGUCUUCUGUGGAACCCAGCUUCUGCUUGGCUCAUCACCUACAGCCUUAAAUGACUGCUGCCUUUUCGUUGAAGACCUUUAGAAACAGUAUGUGCAAAACACCUGUAGAUAGUCAGGAGAUGAAUAAGAGACAAUUACUUCAUUUAAUUCAGGAAAGUCAAAAAGCAUUUGCAGUCAUUACUCACAUGGUACAGAGCUCAAUAUUCAGCAUCUUGGUACUGUGGACAAGUGAACUGAUACAAGUUUGAGUGUGCUUUGAGGAAAUCUAGAGGUUAUUAUUUUUAAGUAAUAAUAAUAGUAAUAAUAAAAAUCUCCCUGAUGUGGAAAUUGAGACAUCAAGAAAAAAAACAAUCCACAUAUUUGAGAUCAGUAAGCCUCAGCAAAUGCCUUGAGGCUGUUUGGUGCCUAUCACACGAGGCUGGAAAGGUGCUGCCGAUGGCAAAGUUUGCCAGCUUCAGGCAAACUCAGCUGGUGGUGGCCCUGAUCCUCAGUGAAGCCCACCACUCCUCACAGUUUGCCAACAUCAGGGAUCCAGACAGCAAAGCUCAGCGAGAUAUUUCAGUCACAACAACUGGGAUUGCAGCAAGGGUUUUUCUCUUGCUGGUAGGGUCCAACCACCACUAUAUGUGCUAUUCCAAAGCUGUUCCAUUAAAUUAACCUAGAAUGUGUCCAGCUAAAAAAAAAAUAAAAAAUGGUGCAAAAAUAACAAAGGGGAGGUAAAUUAAGAUUUCAGUGAAUGACAAAGGUUUGAUCUAUUUGAACUGCAGCUGUUGGCAUGUGUUGUCAUCCAUUGGUGAGGCUGCACCUCCUGUACUAUGUUCAGUUUUGGGCCUCUCACUACAAGAAAGACAUUGAAGCCUUGGAGU
This is a long non-coding RNA of Centrocercus urophasianus (Greater sage-grouse), 4905 nucleotides long. RefSeq lists it as uncharacterized. Lineage: Eukaryota; Metazoa; Chordata; Aves; Galliformes; Phasianidae. The record is from RefSeq and is a predicted model, not a curated record. The transcript is spliced from 4 exons.